This is a long non-coding RNA of Neofelis nebulosa (Clouded leopard), 3285 nucleotides long. RefSeq lists it as uncharacterized. NCBI's taxonomy places the organism in Eukaryota, Metazoa, Chordata, Mammalia, Carnivora, Felidae. The record is from RefSeq and is a predicted model, not a curated record. The transcript is spliced from 3 exons.
UUUUGUUAAAGUGUAAGCUAACCUAACAAUAAGUACAAACUGCAUUUAAUUUCAAACUAAAAAUUCUUAGUUUACUAUAUUUUUGCAAUUGUGUUUAAAAGCUCAGAAAAAAUAAGUUUUUCAAUUUAUAACUGUAGGCGAUUGAAUGUCAGUGAUAACACAGGCUACUGUAAGCAUUGUUUUCUGUACACAAAAGCCUCUAUGAGAUUUAAAAAAAAAAAAAAGCCCAACUGAUGUCAGCCUGGGACGGAUCUGAGAAAUCUUUCUGAUGAAAGUGACCCUGAGGCUGGAAAUAAGGAAUCUGAAAAAGUUAGCCAGGAGAGAGGAAUAACAAUGUGUAGGGGAACACAGAAUUUCAGUCUUACUGGAAAUAAAGGAUCAAAGAAGAAUCCCUAGGGAGGCAGAUGUCACAACUCCUUAUUCGGAAAACUAUCCAAGGGGCAGCUAAAAACAGUUCUGCAAAGUGCCUCCCACUUCUAAAGCACCAUCCACAUACUUGGUAUGGUAAUAAUGAAUCUAACUGCCUAUUCCAGAACUCUCUGCUGUGAAGAGGCCGUGGUGGGCAAUGCCAAUUGGAAAACAAGGCUGUGGUUUGUGCCGCCUUCAGCAGAACCUGGUGCCAGCUCUGUGGCUCCGGAAACAGAGCUCAAUUGUAUCUUCCACUCCUCUCUCUUUUUAACCUAAUAAACUUUUCUGACAGGCAAUGGCACCACUCAGGCCUCACUGCCCGGUAGCCAUAUGAUCUCCAUCUGCACUGAGGUCAGCACAUAGGCAUAAAUGGAAGGAAGCAGAAAGCGUAUCAGGAGGAAACACAUGAAUGGAAUAAAAUGUAAACCAGACUUCUGUCCUGCCGUUGGCCCUCCCAGGCUACCAGAGACUCUUCCUCCUGGCUGACCUCUUCUACAGAGCCUUCUCCUACAUUCGCUGGGGAUCAACCACAGGAAGAAGAAGCUACAGAUGUUUCCUCAACAAAGCACUCUGAACAGAGCAGAGUAAUGCAGCUAUUCUGGACUUGGAACCAGAAGACCCAGCUUCACAUUCUGACAAAAGCACUGCCAUGCCAUGUCCCACAAAGAGAGAGAAAAUGCACCCACAAGCAGGGGAGGGGCAGAGAGAGAGAGACACACAGCAGCCAAAGCAGCCUCCAGGCUCUGAGUUGUCAGCAAGAGCCCGACGUGGAACUCGAACCCAUGAACCGCGAGAUCAUGGCCUGAGCCGAAGCUGGAUUGUCAACUUACUGAGCUACACAGGUGCCCUAAGUAUUUGAGAUUUAAAUGAUACAGGUUAAAAAUAAAAUUUGGAUUUUUAAUCCAAAAAAAAGUAUGAGUAUUAAAAGAGACUUCUAGCAGUAGUAUAAUAGCAUGAUGGGUUGUGGAGUCAAAUUCCUGCAAAUUCAAGAUUUGGAACAGACUACAUAAUCAUAGGUAUCAACUUUUCAUGCCACAUGUCCUCAUCUGUGAAUAAUUCUUUGCACUGUUUUCCAGGGUUAAAUGAGAAGGCAUAGCAGAGCAUCAUGUUUUUUUUCUUUCCUUUCCUUUCUUCUACUUUUUGACAUGCUUUCUCUGUUUCCCAAGCUCAUUAAAACCUGAAAAAGGAAAAUUACCUUAGUGGAUCCAAGCAAGAGAUACUGGCAUGGGAAUAUCAUGGAGCCAGGAGGAGAAUGAAUUUUUCUUGUAUGGCAGACAAUGUUAAACUCUGCUUCUGCACCCACAGUCUGGGGUAUCAUUUGUACUCUCACAAAUCCACAAUGCUUAGUUUAAAGAAGUUUUGGGUGAUGCAAGAUUGACUUGACAGUAUGCAGUUGCCAUUAUAAAGAGGGAUGCAGGGCUACAUAGGAAAACAAUGUGUCCAUGACUCACUGCGAUUUUAAAGGUUUGUUUUUCCCUGAGCUGACACUUACAAAGAUGUUCCUCAUGAGCUCAUGCCCUACAAUUUGAGGAAUGUAUUAUUAAGUCAACUGGUUGUCUUGUUUAUGCCUAUUUAUGGUUAUGGUACCUUAUUUAUGAGUCUGUGGUAUGAAUAGUUAAGCUUCCAUCAAUGAUAGUAGUUAGGCUGAGAGACUAAAGCAAUGACACACUUGCCCAGCAAAUAUAAAUGGGUACUACAAAAUUUUUAUACACAUGUAGUGGGAGGAUGUCUGGAAAGGCAGAAUCUGGUAUGUUUCUAACUCACACGUGUGUUGAAGGAACAAAUUCCUUGAAACCCAGGCCUAUUUUGCCAUGUAAAAGUUAUCAUUGGAUGUAACUCUCCCAGGAAAGAGUAAGUUAUUAUUAUUUUUUCCUUUCAGUGUAUACCUUGAGAAACUACUACAGGACAAACAGGUUGGCAAGGAACAAUGAAUGCAACUGUCUGACUCUGUGGGAGCAGUAAGGUUGAGUGUUCCUCUUCUCCCUCAAGAAGUUCUUGGCAUCAGGGCUAACAACUGGAAAUGAAUGGAAACAAAGUGCUUUAAGGGCCCCAGUGAUAGCAAUAGCCCAGUGUUCUUCAGAGUCAUAGAUGCUUUGUUUAAAGAUUUCCCAGAGGAGCAUCAGUGCCAGGAGGAAAACAGGAUCAACCCAAAGAAUCUUCUGUACAUGGCCAGGGUUAUUGCAUAGCAGCUGGGGCAACAUCAGUGAGGGGAGAAUUUCAUUGAAAAUAGCCUUCACUAGGGGCACCUGGGCAACUCAGUCAUUUAAGUGUCCAACUUUGACUCAGGUCAUGAUCUUGCAGUUCAUGAGUUCAAACCCGACGUUGGGUUCUGUGCUGACAGCUCAGAGCCUGGAGCCUGUUUCGGGUUUUGUGUCUCCCUCUCUCUCUCUGCCCUUUCCCCACUCUCACUCUGUCUCUUUCUCUCUCUUUAAAUAAGCACUAAAAAAAAGAAAGAAAGAAAAAAAAAGAAAAAGAAAAGAAAAGAAAAGAGAAAAGAAAAGAAAAAAGAAGAAAAGAAAAGAAAAGAAAAGAAAAGAAAAGAAAAGAAAAGAAAAGAAAAGAAAAGAAAAGAGCCUUCACUUUCGGCCAUAAAGCAUGACCCAGCAGAGCGAAUUUAUGGAGGUAGUUUUGACAAACUCCAGUUUCAAGGUGAAGCUCUUCCUUACAGGAUAUGAUGAAUAUGUGUAAACUCUCUGGGCAAUUAGGAUUACCAUAAAGAAGAUGACUACAAGGGAGGAGAGAAGCUUAUUAUCGUGAAGGGCAGGUCAGUAUGAAGCCUUAAUCUGGUUUUGAUUUGAAUAACAUAGGACCUUACUUGUUCCCUUCUUUCAAGUGGGUUAAAGGGAUUAUCCUACUAGGUGUGAUUAAGAAUAUAGU